UACGUAGGGUGCAAGCGUUGUCCGGAAUUAUUGGGCGUAAAGAGCUCGUAGGCGGUCUGUCGCGUCGGCUGUGAAAACCCGGGGCUCAACCCCGGGCCUGCAGUCGAUACGGGCAGACUAGAGUGCGGUAGGGGAGACAGGAAUUCCUGGUGUAGCGGUGAAAUGCGCAGAUAUCAGGAGGAACACCGGUGGCGAAGGCGGGUCUCUGGGCCGUAACUGACGCUGAGGAGCGAAAGCGUGGGGAGCGAACAGG
This 253-nucleotide ribosomal RNA is filed under the name uncultured bacterium. Its description in RNAcentral is "partial 16S ribosomal RNA". It matches the Rfam family "Bacterial small subunit ribosomal RNA", at positions 524 to 776 of the family's 1533-position model. The record is from RNAcentral.